GUGCAGCAGUCGCGAAUUUUUCACAAUGGGGGAAACCCUGAUGGAGCGACGCCGCGUGGAGGAUGAAGGCCUUUUGGUCGUAAACUCCUGUCAUGCGAGAACAAGAAAGUGAUAGUAUCGCAAGAGGAAGAGGCGGCUAACUCUGUGCCAGCAGCCGCGGUAAUACAGAGGCCUCAAGCGUUGUUCGGAUUCAUUGGGCGUAAAGGGUGCGUAGGUGGCUUGUUAAGUUGAAGGUGAAAUCUCGGGGCUCAACUCCGAAACUGCCUUCAAUACUGGCGAGCUCGAGGAUUGUAGAGGAGAAUGGAAUUCACGGUGUAGCAGUGAAAUGCGUAGAUAUCGUGAGGAAGACCAGUGGCGAAGGCGAUUCUCUGGGCAACUCCUGACACUGAGGCACGAAGGCCAGGGGAGCAAACGGGAUUAGAUACCCCUGUAGU
Molecule: ribosomal RNA, 434 nt
Filed under: uncultured organism
Description: bacterial SSU rRNA
Rfam family: Bacterial small subunit ribosomal RNA
Source: RNAcentral